This 1299-nucleotide long non-coding RNA is filed under the name Diabrotica virgifera virgifera (western corn rootworm). RNAcentral's name for it is "uncharacterized LOC126892737". Lineage: Eukaryota; Metazoa; Arthropoda; Insecta; Coleoptera; Chrysomelidae. The record is from RNAcentral.
GGUCACGUUACGAAAGUAGCUCUUUAAUAAUUAUUAUUAUUAUUUUCCCUCGGUCUCUCAUUUAAAUUCUCGUAUAGGACCACUGAGGUGACGUCAUACCUCGGUGAUGGAACGUACUUCACCUAUCGAGAAUUAUUCGGGUUCUGAGAGAAUUUGACGUUUACCUUGGCGGAGAAACGCCUCUCGUUCUUUACUUGACUGUGAGCUGUGGUGUCGAAUAGAUAUACCAUAUAGAAUGGCGGAUGAUUUCCUCCAACUUAUUUUAUCACAUAAGAAAUUUAACGUAAAGUAAAAAGUUACCACCAGGGAUUGUCUGGAGUGAGGAAACAUGUGGGUGACAACUCCUGUUGGAGUAUAAAUAGGAAUCAUUCGCCAUUUGGGAGAAACCCUACCAUGAAGUCCUAGACCUUAUUUGACCACCUUGGGAAACCACUACAGCCACAGUCAAGUCAUCAUUGGGUAGUAAUUUUGGGAGCAAGCUAUGGGAGCGUUCCAGCUCAAUUUUCGUCUUGGCACCUGGGCCUACAGGAGUCAUGGGGGCGCACCAUCCUGGUGCAUCAUUUUCUAGGAUGUAACCGCAACCUCGUUUGGGAACAUUUAGUGAGGUGUUUUAGUAACUAUUGGUUUUUUUUUAUAUUACAGACUAUCUGUUAAAUACACUAUGUUUUUUUUCCAGAUUUAGGUUACCUCUGCUUUUUUUUUGACAUAUUUGUAUAUUAGAUUAUUUGGUUCCCAAACUUUGUAUCUACGGUAACUUCUUGUGCACAGGAAUAAGCCUAGAGAAAAUUAGGUUUUUAAUACUUUAUUAUUGCUUUGAUAUUGGUUUAUGUAAUUCGGGUAAAUUUAUUUUUUAAUAUUACUAGCUUGUUUCCCAAAUAUUUUACUGUUAUUCGCUUUAUUCCAUUUGUUCGGUUAAUUUAGGUCAUCGUCGGUAUUUAUCUCAACUUCAUUUCUACUUUAGUCAAUUAUAUAUUUAACUUUAUCUAUUCAUUAUUGUAUUUUCCCUUAGUGAGGCUUGGGCCUAUUUAUUUGUAGUAUUUUCAUCUUUGUCAGUUUCCUUUAGUUGUACGUAGCAGGCGUACUAUAACCAUUUGGUAGAAGACUCAUGUGAGUUGUACCCUAUAUAUAUGUAAGAGGUAUUUAAGUUUGUAACAGAUAACAUUAUUGUUGUUAUCUUUAAAAUAUAUAUAGCUUCUUGUAUAACUUAUGUCAUUUUAGAGUUACAUGAUAUAUGCUUGUCUAACUCAGAGAUUGUUAAAAAUCUAGUAGUUAUUUUAAUAAAUAUUUAUUUAUUUUGUA